Molecule: long non-coding RNA, 1455 nt
Organism: Oncorhynchus keta (chum salmon)
Lineage: Eukaryota; Metazoa; Chordata; Actinopteri; Salmoniformes; Salmonidae
Exons: 4
Source: RefSeq, a predicted model, not a curated record
UAGACCAGGUCAUAUUCACUGAGGGGUUUAAUAGACCAGGUCAUAUUCACUGAGGGGUUUAAUAGACCAGGUCAUAUUCACUGAGGGGUUUAAUAGACCAGGUCAUAUUCACUGAGGGGUUUAAUAGACCAGGUCAUAUUCACUGAGGGGUUUAAUAGACCAGGUCAUAUUCAUAUUCACUGAGGGGUUUAAUAGACCAGGUCAUAUUCACUGAGGGGUUUAAUAGACCAGGUCAUAUUCACUGAGGGGUUUAAUAGACCAGGUCAUAUUCACUGAGGGGUUUAAUAGACCAGGUCAUAUCCACUGAGGGGUUUAAUAGACCAGGUCAUAUUCACUGAGUGGUUUAAUAGACCAGGUCAUAUUCACUGAGUGGUUUAAUAGACCAGGUCAUAUUCACUGAGUGGUUUAAUAGACCAGGUCAUAUUCAUAUUCACUGAGGGGUUUAAUAGACCAGGUCAUAUUCACUGAGGGGUUUAAUAGACCAGGUCAUAUUCACUGAGGGGUUUAAUAGACCAGGUCAUAUUCACUGAGGGGUUUAAUAGACCAGGUCAUAUUCACUGAGGGGUUUAAUAGACCAGGUCAUAUCCACUGAGGGGUUUAAUAGACCAGGUCAUAUCCACUGAGGGGUUUAAUAGACCAGGUCAUAUCCACUGAGUGGUUUAGUAGACCAGGUCAUAUUCACUGAGGGGUUUAAUAGACCAGGUCAUAUCCACUGAGGGGUUUAAUAGACCAGGUCAUAUUCACUGAGGGGUUUAGUAGACCAGGUCAUAUUCACUGAGGGGUUUAAUAGACCAGGUCAUAUUCACUGAGGGGUUUAAUAGACCAGGUCAUAUUCACUGAGGGGUUUAAUAGACCAGGUCAUAUUCAUAUUCACUGAGGGGUUUAAUAGACCAGGUCAUAUUCAUAUCCACUGAGGGGUUUAAUAGACCAGGUCAUAUUCACUGAGGGGUUUAAUAGACCAGGUCAUAUUCACUGAGGGGUUUAAUAGACCAGGUCAUAUUCACUGAGGGGUUUAAUAGACCAGGUCAUAUCCACUGAGGGGUUUAAUAGACCAGGUCAUAUUCACUGGGGGGUUUAAUAGACCAGGUCAUAUCCACUGAGGGGUUUAAUAGACCAGGUCAUAUCCACUGAGGGGUUUAAUAGACCAGGUCAUAUUCACUGAGGGGUUUAAUAGACCAGGUCAUAUUCACUGAGGGGUUUAAUAGACCAGGUCAUAUUCACUGAGGGGUUUAAUAGACCAGGUCAUAUUCACUGAGGGGUUUAAUAGACCAGGUCAUAUCCACUGAGGGGUUUAAUAGACCAGGUCAUAUCCACUGAGGGGUUUAAUAGACCAGGUCAUAUUCACUGAGGGGUUUAAUAGACCAGGUCAUAUUCAUAUUCACUGAGGGGUUUAAUAGACCAGGUCAUAUUCAUAUUCACUGAGUGGUUUAAUAGACCAGGUCAUAUUCAUAUUCA